UUCGAUCAUGGCUCAGAUUGAACGCGCUGGCGGAUGCUUUACGUACAGGGUGAACGGCAGCACGGACUUCGGUCUGGUGACGAGAGUGGCGAACGGGUGAAGGUAAUGUAUCGGAACGUGCCUAGUAGCGGGGGAUAACUUCGCGAAAGCGUAGCUAAUACCACAUACGCCCUUCGGGGAAAGCGGGGGACCUUCGGGCCUCACCGCAUAUUAGAGCGGCCGAUAUCAGUUAGCUAGUUGGUGGGUAACGGCUCGCAAGGCGACGAUCCGUAGCUGGUUUGAGAGGACGACCAGCCACACUGGGACUACAGAGACACGGCCCAGACUCCUGCAGGGAGGCAGCAGUGGGGGUACGGACAAUGAAACCCUGAUCCAGCCAUCCCGCGUGUGCGAUGAAGGCCUUCGGGUUGUAAAGCACUUUUGGCAGAAAGAAACGGCACGGGAUAAUACCCCGUGCAACUGACGGCCACCUGCAGAAUAAGCACCGGCUAACUACGUGCCAGCAGCCGCGUGGCCACGUAGGGUGCAAGCGUUAAUCGGAAUUACUGGGCGUAAAGCGUGCGCAGGCGGUUCGGAAAGAAAGAUGUGAAAUCCCAGAGCAGCAGCUGCAUUUUUAACUACCGAGCUAGAGUGUGUCAGAGGGAGGUGGAAUUCCGCGUGUAGCAGUGAAAUGCAUGGAAUGUGCGGAGGAACACCGAUAGCGAAGGCAGCCUCCUGGGAUAACACUGACGCUCAUGCACGAAAGCGUGGGAGCAAACGGGAUUAGAUACCCUGGUAGUCCACGCCCUAAACGAUGUAUCAACUAGCUGUUGGGGCCUUCGGGCCUUGGUAGCGCAACUAACGCGUGAAGUUGACCGCCUGGGAGUACGGUCGCAAGAUUAAAACUCAAAGGAAUUGACGGGGACCCGCACAAGCGGUGGAUGAUGUGGAUUAAUUCGAUGCAACGCGAAAACCCUACCUACCCUUGACAUGUCUGGAAUCCCGAAGAGAUUUGGGAGUGCUCGCAAAAGAGAACCGGAACACAGGUGCUGCAUGGCUGUCGUCAGCUCGUGUCGUGAGAUGUUGGGUUAAGUCCACUGUAGAAGCGCAACCCUUGUCAUUAGUUGCUACGAAAGGGCGCUCUAAUGAGACUGCCGGUGAUCAAGGUGGGGAUGACGUCAAGUCCUCAUGGCCCUUAUGGUGGGGCUUCACACGUCAUACAAUGGUCGGGACAGAGGGUCGCCAACCCGAGGGUAAUCCCAGAAACCCGAUCGUAGUCCGGAUCGCAGUCUGCAACUCGACUGCGUGAAGUCGGAAUCGCUAGUAAUCGCGGAUCAGCGUGUCGCGGUGAAUACGUUCCCGGGUCUUGUACACACCGCCCGUCACACCAUGGGAGUUGGGUUUUGAAGUAGUUAGCCUAACCGUAAGGAGGGCGAUUACCACGGUAGGAUUCAUGACUGGGGUGAAGUCGUAACAAGGUAG
RNAcentral lists this ribosomal RNA (1461 nucleotides) under uncultured Bordetella sp. Its description in RNAcentral is "partial 16S-23S ribosomal RNA intergenic spacer". It matches the Rfam family "Bacterial small subunit ribosomal RNA". The record is from RNAcentral. Lineage: Bacteria; Pseudomonadati; Pseudomonadota; Betaproteobacteria; Burkholderiales; Alcaligenaceae.